GUCCAAGAAAAACCGCUAAGCUUCAGGUUAUAAAAACCCGUACCGCAAACCGACACAGGUAUCCGGGAAGAGAAUUCUAAGGCGCUCGAGUGAAUCAUGGCUAAGGAACUCGGCAAAAUGGCCCUGUAACUUCGGGAGAAGGGGCGCUGGUAGCAAUAUCAGCCGCAGUGAAAAGGCCCAGGCGACUGUUUAACAAAAACACAUGGCUUUGCAAAAUCGAAAGAUGAAGUAUAAGGCCUGACACCUGCCCGGUGCUGGAAGGUUAAGAGGGGAUGUCAUCCUCACGGAGAAGCAUUGAAUCGAAGCCCCAGUAAACGGCGGCCGUAACGAUAACGGUCCUAAGGUAGCGAAAUUCCUUGUCGGGUAAGUUCCGACCUGCACGAAUGGUGUAACGAUCUGGGCGCUGUCUCAGCCAUGAGCUCGGUGAAAUUGUGGUCCCGGUGAAGACGCCGGGUACCCGCAACGGGACGGAAAGACCCCAUGCACCUUCACUACAAUUUAACAUUGACAUUGGAUACAGGAUGUGUAGGAUAGGUGGGAGACUAUGAAGCGGCGUCGCCAGGCGUCGUGGAGUCAACGUUGAAAUACCACCCUUUCUGUAUUCGGUGUCUAACUCGGCCUAGUCGAGGACAUUGUUUGAUGGGUAGUUUGACUGGGGUGGUCCCUCCAAAAAGGUAACGGAGGCUUUCAAAGGUAAGCUCAAUACGCUUGGUAACCGUAUGAGGAGUGCAAUAGCAUAAGCUUGCUUGACUGUGAGGCAUACAAGCCGAGCAGGGUCGAAAGACGGAUUUAGUGAUCCGGUGGUUCUGCAUGGAAGGGCCAUCGCUCAAAGGAUAAAAGGUACGCUGGGAUAACAGGCUGAUCUCCCCCAAGAGCUCAUAUCGACGGGGAGGUUUGGCACCUCGAUGUCGGCUCGUCACAUCCUGGGGCUGGAGAAGGUCCCAAGGGUUCGGCUGUUCGCCGAUUAAAGUGGCACACGAGCUGGGUUCAGAACGUCGCGAGACAGUUCGGUCCCUAUCUGUUGUGGGCGUAGGAAUUUUGAGUGGGGCUGACCUUAGUACGAGAGGACCGGGUUGGACUAGCCUCUAGUGAAUCUGUUGUUCCGCCAGGGGCAUUGCAGAGUAGCUACGCUGGGAAUAGAUAAGCGCUGAAAGCAUCUAAGUGCGAAACUAGCCACGAGAUGAGAAUUCCAUAUAGGACCGUAGUAGACUACUACGUUGAUAGGUUACAGAUGUAAAGGUUGUGAGAUCAAAGUCGAGUAAUACUAAUCAUCCA
This 1275-nucleotide ribosomal RNA is filed under the name metagenome. RNAcentral's name for it is "bacterial LSU rRNA". It matches the Rfam family "Bacterial large subunit ribosomal RNA", at positions 1606 to 2911 of the family's 2925-position model. The record is from RNAcentral.